CUUUCACAUGUUGGGACAGUUCAAAUGUGUCCAAAAUGGUAAAAAGUUUUUUUUGAAGAGCUGCAUCAUUAGAAGAGCUGCAUCAUCGUCAGAUAAGGGUGGUGUGCAUGACAAUGGAUGGUCAUGCAACAAAUAUCAGUAUGUGCACCCAACUUGGGUGCGAUUUAAAAGCAGACCCCUGUAAGCCCUUGAAGACCCAUUUCCCACAUCCAGUAACCCAUGACAAUGUUUUUGUUAUGAUGGACGCUUGCCACAUGCUGAAGCUGACACGCAAUAUGUUGCAGGUACACGCUCAUUAUUGCUUAUUUUCUCUGACUGUUCUGCUUUUUAUACAUUUUAAUUUUAUUUACAUAAUUCUGCAGAAUAUGGUGCUUUACAGUUGACGUGUGCAGUGAAAAAGAAUCUGAUUCUGCAGGCAUACAGCCCAAUUAGAAGCAUAACUGGCAGUAUCAAUUUGAAGUACAUAGUUCAGCUGAACAAUGUCCAAAAGAAAAGUGGACUACAUGCUGCCCAUCGAGUCACAGAUAAGCAUGUGAAUUUUGCUAAUCAGAAGAUGAAGGCAUGUUUGCAUGAUGAUUUAUGUAUAGAGGGCCGCAAUAGAAAUGGGCUCUAGUGCUUUAUUGUAUUUUUUAAUGUGCUCUUCAUUUCUCCUUAUAAACUCAAUCAAGGUCUCCCUGGCUGCUCAGACUUUGAGUAACUCUGUGGCAGUGGCGCUCCACACCUUGCAGGACGUGGGCUAUGCAGAGUUCAAAGAUUGUGAGGCUACUUCUGAAUUAAUUAAGGUUCCUCUCUGUCAUGGGCUUCGUCAUAAACAUUGACACGUUGAUGUCGAUGGUUCCUGUGCUGCUCGAAGGACAGCGAUAUGUCCUGACCUACAGAUUCAGCCAGGACCAUUUGGAACUUCUCUUUAACUCCAUCAGAGCAUCCGGUGGCGCUGGAAUAACAACCCAGUUCAAAUAGAUCUUCAGAAAGCUGAUGGCCCAGUGUGGAGUUGUUAAACCAUGCAGAGGCAAUGGGACUGCACAGGAUGAGACAGAGUCCCUAUCAGCGGUCAUCGACAACAAGCCUGUCAGCUGUAGAUAUGUCCUCUCUAGCAGGAGGAGAAGAUCUUCCAUCCCCAUUUGCUGACAUUCCUGCCCUAGUACAUGACCACCACAGCAACCUUCCCGUCUGCUAUGAUGGUCUUGUGGACAAUGCUCUCGUGUACAUUUCAGGUGAAGGCUGACUGAAAGUCGAUUUUGCCUAUAACCGAUAGUGCCAAUAGUCAACUCUGUGAGAGAACACUCUUGACAGUCCAAAAAAAGAAAUGUUUCCUUAAUUUCCCCACGCAUAUUAUUGUAAGUUAUGAUAUUAUACUAACCCAAAUUUCAGGAUUUGUUGUGAGACGGGCUCUGAAGAAGCUGUCCUGUGAUGUCUGCCGUGCCAGCCUGGUGACAGACGCUGCAUCUGCCAUCAAGGACCAGAGCUACCACCUGCUGUGUCUAAGAAACAAUGGAGGCCUGGUGAUUCCAUCAGAGUGCACAGUGAGGGUCGUCAGGGCAGCAGGGUGGGUCAUUCGCCAGGCAUCAGCUAGUUUCAGACGAUCACAGCCCUUCAAACUGCUAGAGGUCUUGUACAUUGUACGGAAGAGGAUCGGGUCAGAGGAUGUGUUUGUGCUCAGGGAGCACAUCGGCGACACGCAGUGUGGCAUAGACAGCCAUCACCAUACGUUGCUAACACUAGUUGUCUCUUUGUUUUUUAAGUUAAGGCUACACCACAUCGCUAAAAUGACUACACUAAGCUUACAGAGCAACAACAUUCGACAGAAGCUCAAUAAAACAGUCCUUUUCAAAGGGCAUUAGCCCAAUGUUACGCCCCUGGUGGGUCUCUCUGUGGGCCCGCCCAUUUUUGCUGCCUCUCUCUCUCUCCACAUUUAGUUCUCUGCAAACCUAUGGUGACAUCAUGCCUUCAAUGUGUCUUAAACAGCCACAAAAGUUGCACAUAUUAUAAUCAUAUUUCAUCGUAUCUGUCUAAAUGCAUACUUGACUGUAGAUAGAUUUGAGUGAAGUUACCAACACAAUAGAUUGCUGAGUUUUAGUAGCCCAAAUAUUGAUUUAACAUAAAUAACAUGAAUACGUUGUGCAUGUGUGUAUUUACUUCACCUUUCUGUUCUGUUUAAUGUUCAUUUCAUAUGAAAACACAUGGUUAUAAUUACAUACAUCUUUGUACAGGGUGGGGAUUUCAACGUGCAGCCUUUCUUGAUGUAUAUUUGUAAAGGGAAAUAUUGUACCUAUUUUAGAACAUUAUUCUAUUUUUCUUAGAACCUAACAACUAUUCAUAAGUAUAUACUGUCAUACCUACAACUCUGACGUUUAUAAGAAAACCAACCGGUUUGAAAAUCGGUUGAAAAUUGA
Gadus morhua (Atlantic cod) is the source of this 2393-nucleotide long non-coding RNA. RefSeq lists it as uncharacterized. The transcript has 3 exons. Lineage: Eukaryota; Metazoa; Chordata; Actinopteri; Gadiformes; Gadidae. The record is from RefSeq and is a predicted model, not a curated record.